Molecule: non-coding RNA, 87 nt
Organism: Perkinsus olseni
Lineage: Eukaryota; Perkinsozoa; Perkinsida; Perkinsidae
Source: the annotation of a GenBank genome assembly
GCCCGAUUAGUUCAGCUGGAUAGAAUGUCUGCCUACGGAGCAGAUGGUACGAGGACGACACCUGAGGGACUCGAACUCUCGCGGGCG